RNAcentral lists this transfer RNA (72 nucleotides) under Camelus bactrianus (Bactrian camel). It matches the Rfam family "tRNA". Rfam says of the family: Transfer RNA (tRNA) molecules are approximately 80 nucleotides in length. Their secondary structure includes four short double-helical elements and three loops (D, anti-codon, and T loops). RNAcentral also lists the same sequence under 2 other names. The record is from Rfam by way of RNAcentral. Lineage: Eukaryota; Metazoa; Chordata; Mammalia; Artiodactyla; Camelidae.
GAGGGUAUAGCUAAGUGGUAAAGUGCAUGCUUAGCAUGUACAAGAUCCUGGGUUCAAUCCCCAGUACCUCCA